RNAcentral lists this ribosomal RNA (839 nucleotides) under Relicanthus daphneae. RNAcentral describes it as "partial 12S small subunit ribosomal RNA". It matches the Rfam family "Bacterial small subunit ribosomal RNA", at positions 337 to 1484 of the family's 1533-position model. Lineage: Eukaryota; Metazoa; Cnidaria; Anthozoa; Relicanthidae. The record is from RNAcentral.
UCCUGUUGGACGAGGCAGCAGUAGAGAAUCUUGUGCAAUAUACGAAAGUAUGACACAGAGAGCACACAUUUAACUUAGCCCGUCAAAUUAAGUGCCAGCAGACGCGGUUAGACUUAAGGGUUAAGCCUUUAUAGGUAAAAAGGCGUAAAGGGUGUGUAGGCCUUUUAAGUAGGGCUAAAGAAGGUAAGUGGAAUUUUUCUGGAGCGGUAAAAUGUGGGGAUAGAAAAUAGAACCCCAAAGGCUAAAGCAACUUACCUCUGCCUGGAUGAAAUAAGCUGAAACACGAAAGUGUGGGGAGCAAACAGGAUUAGAGACCCUGGUAGUCCACACUGUAAACGAUGAAGAUAAUGUUAGGCAACCCCGAAAGGUAAUAAAUCUUCCGCCUGAGUAGUACGAUCGCAAGAUUAAAAUUCAAAAAAUUUGGCUGUUCACUGUUUCGAUUAGAGGAGCGUGUAGUUUAAUUCGAUAAUCCGCGAGACACCUUACCCAAACUUGAAUCAAUUGACAGGUAUUGCAUGGCCGUCGUCAGUUCGUGUGUGAAACGGACCCAACCCGGGGUUUAGUCUCGGAUGAAGUCAGGUCUUAUGAUCCUAAUGUUUGGGGAUUAUAUGCGCUACAUUUUCUUAUACAAUGGGAGACCUUGAAGGUGAAACCCCAAAGUAAGAGUUCGGAAGGUAACUGAAAUAUGACCGAAAGUUGGAUUUAAUAGUAAUCGGAAAGUAGAGCGUUCCGGUGAAUUGGUCCAAGUGUUAGCACAAAUCGCCCGUCACCUUUACCUAGGACGAUAGUUCGAAAGCCGCCUAUAAACGGUGGUUACGAAUAUCUACGAGGUUAAGCAA